UUUGGCAAUGUCAGGUUAAGAAAAUAUGUGCGUGGCCAGGCGUGGUGGCUCACACCUGUAAUCCCAGCACUUUGAGAGGCUGAGGCAGGCGGAUCACUUGAGGCCAGGAGUUCGAGACCAGCCUGGCCAACAUGGUGCAACCCCGUCUCUAUUAAAAACACAAAAAUUAGCCAAGCAUGGUGGCAGGCACCUGUAGUCCCAGCUACUGGGGAGGCUGAAGCAGGAGAAUCGCUUGAACCCGGGAGGUGGAGGUUGCAGUGAGCCGAGAUUGCACCACUGCACUCCAGCCUGGGUGACAGAGUGGGACUCUUGACACACACACACACACACAGAAGAAGAAGAAAAUUUGUGUGUGUGUGUGUGUGUGUGUGUGUGUGUAUCCAGAGAGUUAAAUAUACCAUUUUCCCAUUUUAGGGACGAAGAAACUGAGGUGAGGUCACCUGCCCGAGUGAUGCAGCUAGUUGGCAGCAGAGUGGGACCGGAACCCUGCUGCCAGCAAGGGAUUGUGGGGGCUGAGUGGGACUUCCUUCUGGACAACAGAGGGGAG
RNAcentral lists this non-coding RNA (547 nucleotides) under Pan troglodytes (chimpanzee). The record is from RNAcentral. Lineage: Eukaryota; Metazoa; Chordata; Mammalia; Primates; Hominidae.